Molecule: long non-coding RNA, 388 nt
Organism: Tachyglossus aculeatus (Australian echidna)
Lineage: Eukaryota; Metazoa; Chordata; Mammalia; Monotremata; Tachyglossidae
Exons: 3
Source: RefSeq, a predicted model, not a curated record
GCUCUCCACCUCCAGGCAGGCCCGAUCCCGCGCCGCAGGGGCGGACAAGGCCGGGAGGCUUACUACGGUCCGACCGUUGCUGUGAGCGUCGGAGCAGACUGAACACGGCCCCCGCCCCGCAUACGGCUCACCGUCUGCAUCCCCAUUUUACAGAAGAGGGAACUGAGGCCCGGAGAAACGAGCAGCUCUAAGAUUGGACGGCUGUCUUAAGGGAAGAGGCUGGAAGAGCCCCUGCCCACCGCGACUGUGAAAAGCGAAAGAGCCCCUGCCCAUUUGGAGCACAGACUGGAGGGCUUGUGAAGGCCACAGCUGGGUUGAGUAAUAAUAAUAAUAAUGAUAAUGGCAUUUGUUAAGUGCUUACUAUGUGCAAAGCACUGUUCUAAGUGCU